This is a long non-coding RNA of Mustela erminea (ermine), 577 nucleotides long. RefSeq lists it as uncharacterized. NCBI's taxonomy places the organism in Eukaryota, Metazoa, Chordata, Mammalia, Carnivora, Mustelidae. The record is from RefSeq and is a predicted model, not a curated record. The transcript has 2 exons.
CAGCAACUAGGAUGGGAGAAGGCAGGAGUGGCCAGAUGCCCCACAGGGCACAUGCCCAGUCUCCCUCCUCGUCAUCCCAUCUCACCUGCAUCGGGUGGGCCAUCUGUCUUUGGAGCCUCCUGUGAGUAGAGAAGGGCAUUUACCACCUCCAAGACACCAGCAUGAACGUGUGCCCUGUAAGCAGUGAUCUCCUUCAGAAGACCCACCUGCCUCCCUCUCCCGGAGAAGCCACCCUCCCCUCUGACCAGGUCUCUCACCUUUCCUCCUUCUCCAAGCCCCAGAUAAUAGAAGAAGGGCCCCAGCCACAGCAGCACUGAGAGGACAACUAUGCAGGAGAAGAGGCCUGCCAGCUAGAAAGGAGGAGGGAUGGAAGCCGAGAAGCAAAGGGAUCUCAUGCACCACUGUGAGGGAGCUGGCCGCCCUGCCCACUUUACCUUGCCUUCCCUGGAACUCUCCCUCCUUCCAAAUCCCUGUCCAUGAAGAUAUUCCUCAGUCUUCCACUCUCUUCUUGCUACUUUGCAUCUCACAUCUACUUUUCCCCUCUCCCAAUUAAAUGCCUCUCAUUUGCCGGUCUCUA